Long non-coding RNA from Coturnix japonica (Japanese quail), 1605 nucleotides. NCBI's taxonomy places the organism in Eukaryota, Metazoa, Chordata, Aves, Galliformes, Phasianidae. The record is from Ensembl.
GCAAAGUUGGUGUUACCCAGACAGACAAUCACUUUUUUUUCUACAAAUGUAUUUUUAUUCUGUUCCUCCCCCGUUGUCAAUAAACAAGUUUAUCAUGUUUGUAUAGAAUGCGGGUGCAUUCCGUUCUGUUGGUUACCAAGACAAACACAGUACUGAAGAAUCCCUCAAAGCAUCCCUGGUUUGGAUGAAAGCCCGGGAACAGAAGAGCUCAUCCUCAAGAGCACUAUCAGAUCUCAGCCUCUAUGGUAUUUAAAAGGGCUUGGAAAAUUUGUUUGAGAAAAUACCAAGGAUGUGAAAACAACAAAGUGAAAAAUAAAAUCUUUAUCUAGCACAAGCACAUUGAGGGACCGGACUUGAGCUGAUGUGAAGAAAACUUCACCUCCGAAGCACAGAGUGUAUUUUGGUUCUGUUGCACAACCUGUUGUGCUCCACAAGACCACGUCUGUCCAUGGCUGCAGUGUUUGUUAAUGCAGGUUUUUCUUGUUCUCUUAUAAGGAAGCUGUCACAGCUGGGCCCUCAUCUUGACUUACUUCGUCUAAGUUCUACCAUGAGAAUUUUCUCUGUGAACCAGAAAAGAACUGAGCUGCAAGGAACUGACAGAGAUGAAUUCUUAGAGAUAAAAAGAGGUAAUAUACAAACAGGGCAAAUAGCAGAAUAUAGGCUAAUCAGCAGCUAAUCCUUCCACCCACUCCCACAUCUCACUAGCAGGUCUUCAGAUUGCUGCAACAAUAAGAAAAAAAAGUGUAUUUAUAUAUGUGUGUGUAUAUAUAUAUAUAUUUAUGUGUAAAUGUAUAUCUGUGAGUGAAACCUGUUUAAGCUGAGAGUCUCUGUGGACAAGGAGGUGGCACCAGACCUAUUUUCUGAUGUUUGCCACUUCAGAUAGUGUUGCCUGUUCUUUUCUCUGGUUGAUGCUUCCUAUCCACCCUGUAGUUUGUUGUCUGAGAGCACUAACAGUCCUCCAAUACUUUGUUUGACCUUUGUUUUCUGAAAAGGAAGCUCAUUUCUGGGGAGCCAACAGCAAAUACUUCUGUAAUCUAAAUAAUUCUUUUCCAUGACUCUCUUCCUUUUUUUUUUUUUUUUUUCCCUCCCCCAAAAGAAUUGAACAGCCAUCUUGCUUUGUAAGCCUCUCAUCAUUCUGAUCACUCUCAUAGAGUUCCUACUUGUUUUAUAUUUAAGAACACAUCUCAAACUCAAUGUUGUCUUGUUGACUGAGAUUCUACAAUUAUAGCUAAAAGAAUAACCCUUUUCUGAUGUACUUACUAAAAUAUUUUGCAGUGCCAUGUUGUUUUCCUUGCAACAACUUUAGCUGGCUGAUUUACUGAAUUUUUCGGUUCCCAAUGUCAGCAAAAUUAUUUUCUGCCAUACUGCUUCAUAUGUGCUUCUGUCUUAUAAAAGUAUAGUUUUAGUUCCUCUUUUAGCUUCCACCUUUUAUUUCUGGGCCAUCUCUUUGACGUACCAAUACCAUGUUGAUCUUUAGAGCUUCUAUAAAACCAUUCAAAACAUCUGCCUGCUUUUUCUGUACACAUCCAUCUCUUCCCUUCUUCCCAUAGGAUUGCUAACCAUGCUUGCUUCAGUUUAGGAUGAGACAUAUACAAUUAAUUUCUC